AACGUAGGAGGCGAGCGUUAUCCGGAGUUACUGGGCGUAAAGCGUAUGUAGGCGGUUUGUCAAGUUGCGUGUGAAAGCGCCCGGCUAAACUGGGCGAGGACACGUAAGACUGGCAGGCUGGAGGCGGGUAGAGGGGUGCAGAAUUCCGGGUGUAGCGGUGAAAUGUGUAGAGAUCCGGAGGAAUACCAGUGGUGCAGACGGCGCCCUGGGCCCGACCUGACGCUGAGAUACGAAAGCGUGGGGAGCGAACGGG
Molecule: unclassified non-coding RNA, 253 nt
Filed under: uncultured Anaerolineae bacterium
Lineage: Bacteria; Bacillati; Chloroflexota; Anaerolineae
Description: contains 16S-23S intergenic spacer region
Rfam family: Bacterial small subunit ribosomal RNA
Source: RNAcentral